This is a long non-coding RNA of Xenia sp. Carnegie-2017, 83 nucleotides long. RefSeq lists it as uncharacterized. The transcript has 3 exons. The record is from RefSeq and is a predicted model, not a curated record. Lineage: Eukaryota; Metazoa; Cnidaria; Anthozoa; Malacalcyonacea; Xeniidae.
AGAGCAAAAUAACAAUAACACUUAUUAAGUCCUGAAAGGCAUUUUAAUGCUACUUAAUAAUUGCUUAAUGGCAAUGUACUCUG